UUUCUUAGGAAUGAUAACUAGUGCUGGACUCCACAUACAUGAGCAAGUACAUGCAUACAUUAUUCACACAUUAUACACACACGCACACCUACAUGUGUAAAGAUUCAUUGAAGCUGGGAUUUUAUCCAACUGUGUCUCUCAAAUUUGAGCAGGGAAGAUAUAAAGAAGUAAGUGAUUAAUUCCUAAAUGAAACAUAAGAAUUGCAGGCUAGCAUUAGGGGACAGAGGGAGCACUCGCCAUCUGCAGCCUCCUGCAGCCAUGCAGUCUCACAGAGCUGCAGUAAAGAGACUCGGAGUGGAAGUGACAUUUCUGAUGGCACCCCACUUCACCAACAAGGAACAGGACUAAAGGCAAGCUAGCCGCUGACCACCGAGCAUCGCUGUGCCCACUGCUGAGUUUCUGAGGAAUGUGUCAUCCAGCUCGGCAGUUCCCGUGACUACUGAGGACUGGCACUGAGUCCAGCUUUGUUGAACCUCCGAUUAUGCAGAGAAAAUGAGUGAUUCCUACUUGGACACAAAAGGAACUAAAGAAAAUGAUACUCUGUGAAGACAUAAAGCUGUUUGCAAUAUAAUCUACAAUCUUUUUCCGAUAUUCUUUAAUUCCUGUCACCUCUCAGGAUGAAGUAACCCCUCAGAUUGAAGAACGGAGACAUGAAGGCAGAAGUAAAGCAAACCGUGAGGAAACGUAGGGACCAACAGCACUUGAGAUGAGAACGGGGUCGGUGCGCAAGCCGCACACAUGGGGGACUGUUCGAGUAGAGGCCAAUGAGGAGUUCCGUGGAGUCUCUGGCUGUGGCUUCAGCUUUGACAGGAUGAGGAAGCUGUCCUGUUCUUAGAGACAGACGCUACCACAGAGCCCCGACUCUUCCUUUGUCAGCUCCACUUCUCACUCCAGCUCUCCACACCUCCUCUCUCCCAGCACCCGGAUCCCAAGCUGCUUCCCUUCACUUGGACCCCAAAACUCUCUCUGAGCCCUGGCUCAUCUCUUCAAAGAUGUGUGUGGAAUAUCCCUGGACACUGUGUGAACAUAUGUUACUGUGAUCGGUUUAAUAAACAAGCUGACCAGCCAAUAGCGGAACAAGAUACUGUUAGGUGGGAAAGCAAAACUGAGUGACCGGAUGAGGAAGGGUGGAGUCGGAGAAGCUGUCAAUAGAUGCAGAAGGAGCUGGAGAUGAAUGUGACAUGCUAGUAACAGUCCCGCCACACGACAGAGCGUAAAUAAUGAAGGUAGGUUAGCUUAAAAUGUAAGAGGUAGUUAGUAGUAAGCCCAAGCUAUUAGCUGAGCAUUGAUAAUUUAUUUUAUGCCUCUGUGUCUGUUAUUUGGGAGCAGGCGGUCAGGACAGGAAAAUUUCCACCUAAAAAUGUGUGUCCUCUGAGCUGCCCUGUGUUUACGAGGAGCUGUAAGAAUGUUACAUCCUGCCAGGCGUUGGUGGCGCACGCCUUUAAUCCCAGCACUCCGGAGGCAGAGGCAGGUGGAUCUCUGUGAGUUCGAGACCAGCCCGCUCUACAGAGCGAGUGCCAGGACAGCCUCCAAAGCCACAGAGAAACCCUGUCUCGAAAAACAAAACACAAAAACAAAACAAAAAAGAUUGUUAUGACAUCAUGACAAGGGAGCAUGAGUCUUAGGAUCAGGAGCUACCACCUCUGUAUGGCCUUGCCCAGACAUCUACCCUUCCUGGAUUUCAGUUCUCUACUGCUAAUGUGAAGACAACGGUGGCUUCACAGAAUUGCCCAGAGAUCUUUGCAAGCUACAUCGUCCUGUAAAACCUGCAACUAUGGCCGUUUCAGAGGAAAGGUCUUGGAAGUGUCUCAUAUCUGGAAAUCGUGUCUGAACUCAUGGGAUGAUUUUCUUUCCUCCAGUGCUAGAGAUGGAACCCAGGCCCUUACAAGCACCCUUCUCCUGAGUGAGCUAUGUCCACAACCUCAUGGCAUGGAUUUUUAUGGUAAAAAUAGUAGUUGGUGAAGGUACCCACCGUGGGGGCUAAUACCAGAGUUGUAAUAGUCUUUUCUUUGUCCUUCAAAACCUAUGGGUGUCUCUUAUCCCCUAAAACGCUGCAUUGUUCUCAGGAAACACCUUGAGUUAAUAAAUAUAUCUACCACAGCAAACACUUACCAGCAAUUUGUUAGCAAAAACAUAGUCUGAAGGUUGAAAGGGCUGCAGGGCUAGGUAUUAACGGUGGUUUUGGUUUGGUAUGACCCUGAUCAGCCUUCGGAACAGCAGGUCACUCUACACACAUCCUCGUGAAAACCGAGUCUCAAAUAAAUCAACAGACGUGUUGGCAAGACGUCUCCCUUCGUGCAAACCCCAGAUGACAGCCAGAAGG
Cricetulus griseus (Chinese hamster) is the source of this 2323-nucleotide non-coding RNA. The record is from RefSeq and is a predicted model, not a curated record. Lineage: Eukaryota; Metazoa; Chordata; Mammalia; Rodentia; Cricetidae.